UGGAGAUUAUAGUUGUGCAGACGAUCUUUCAUCUUCUUCCUUACAGUUCGAAACGAUACAAGUAACCGAGUUAUCCUCUUUAAACUCUUCAUUAAUGGUCAUACACGGUCUACAAUCAAUGCGAAUUUUUGUUAUACAAGACGGUGGAUUUCGACUAUAAAAAGACUGUCCGCUCCUCUUCCACCGUUGAAGUUCGCUUGCUCUGUUUCUAAGAGGCCAGGAAACAAAUACGAUGUUGAUGUUA
Molecule: long non-coding RNA, 244 nt
Organism: Brassica napus (rape)
Lineage: Eukaryota; Viridiplantae; Streptophyta; Magnoliopsida; Brassicales; Brassicaceae
Exons: 2
Source: RefSeq, a predicted model, not a curated record